This 466-nucleotide ribosomal RNA is filed under the name uncultured bacterium. RNAcentral describes it as "partial 16S ribosomal RNA". It matches the Rfam family "Bacterial small subunit ribosomal RNA", at positions 28 to 507 of the family's 1533-position model. The record is from RNAcentral.
GAUGAACGCUGGCGGCGUGCUUAACACAUGCGAGUCGAACGGAAAGGCCAGUGCUUGCACUGGUACUCGAGUGGCGAACGGGUGAGUAACACGUGGGUGAUCUGCCCUGUACUUCGGGAUAAGCUUGGGAAACUGGGUCUAAUACCGGAUAGGACAACUUUUUGGAUAUUGUUGUGGAAAGCUUUUGCGGUAUGGGAUGAGCUCGCGGCCUAUCAGCUUGUUGGUGGGGUAAUGGCCUACCAAGGCGUCGACGGGUAGCCGGCCUGAGAGGGUGUACGGCCACAUUGGGACUGAGAUACGGCCCAGACUCCUACGGGAGGCAGCAGUGGGGAAUAUUGCACAAUGGGCGCAAGCCUGAUGCAGCGACGCCGCGUGGGGGAUGAAGGCCUUCGGGUUGUAAACUCCUUUCGCUAGGGACGAAGCGUAAGUGACGGUACCUGGAGAAGAAGCACCGGCUAACUACGUG